UCACCACAAGCAAAGUUGGUGUUU
Molecule: non-coding RNA, 24 nt
Filed under: Arabidopsis thaliana (thale cress)
Lineage: Eukaryota; Viridiplantae; Streptophyta; Magnoliopsida; Brassicales; Brassicaceae
Source: RNAcentral